RNAcentral lists this transfer RNA (69 nucleotides) under Bovichtus angustifrons. RNAcentral's name for it is "tRNA-Tyr". It matches the Rfam family "tRNA". Rfam says of the family: Transfer RNA (tRNA) molecules are approximately 80 nucleotides in length. Their secondary structure includes four short double-helical elements and three loops (D, anti-codon, and T loops). Lineage: Eukaryota; Metazoa; Chordata; Actinopteri; Perciformes; Bovichtidae. The record is from RNAcentral.
GGUAGGAUGGCUGAGUCUAAGCGGUGGAUUGUAGCUCCAUGCACAGGGGUUUAAGUCCCCUUCCUAUCA